UACGUAGGGUGCAAGCGUUAUCCGGAAUUAUUGGGCGUAAAGAGCUCGUAGGCGGUUUGUCACGUCUGCUGUGAAAACUGGAGGCUCAACCUCCAGCCUGCAGUGGGUACGGGCAGGCUGGAGGCAGGCAGGGGAGAACGGAAUUCCCGGUGUAGCGGUGAAAUGCGCAGAUAUCGGGAGGAACACCGGUGGCGAAGGCGGUGUCCUGGGCCGAUCCUGACGCUGAGGAGCGAAAGCUGGGGGAGCAAACAGG
RNAcentral lists this ribosomal RNA (253 nucleotides) under uncultured bacterium. Its description in RNAcentral is "partial 16S ribosomal RNA". It matches the Rfam family "Bacterial small subunit ribosomal RNA", at positions 524 to 776 of the family's 1533-position model. The record is from RNAcentral.